GUUUAUAUUCCGCUGCGAUUGUUGAAGUUUAUAUACAUGUUUAUUGGUUUUGAAUUUUUGUAUGAUGGCGUAGCCUCUAUUUCUUGAAUAAAUGUAUUAUUCGCAUGUUUAAUUGCUUUAAUAGAAAUAGGAGUGUUACAAUAUCCAAUGGGGAUGAGAAAUUGAAUCUCAUCCCCGUCUCCAAUGGGUUCGGGUAAUCCCGCCUCAUCCCCUUCCCCGCAGUGAAUCAAUUUUUUUUUAAUAGAAUAUAAUAUAGCUAUAAAUAGUACAAAAUUCAUGGUGACAUCAUUAGAGACAUCCAUUGCAUGAAUAGAGGCGACUAAUUCAUUUUUGGGAAGUUGUGUUGAACUGGAUGGAAUAUUAGUAGACUAAUUACUUAGACACCCACUCUUACUCUUUCCGGUUGGACAUGAUAACUUGGAUUGUGAAACUGGUGCAUCUGAAUGCAAAAAUUUUAAAUUAUCAAAGAAAGACGGUGAUCACUUGAUUGACCGUUCAAAAUGAUCAUCUUGAGUAGAUUAUCCCUCUUUAGUGAACCUUUGUAUAUAUUUUUUUUGGAGUUGGACACAUUGAGUUUUUUUUUGGGAAAGCAAAUUGACGAAAUUGCAUUUGCAUAUGUACCUUCAUAUUGUAAUCAUAAACGUUAAAUUGGACAUGCAGAGUAUAAUCAUGUGUUAAAAUUCAUAAAAAAAAAAACCAGAAUUUGGUUAUUUCAAAUUUGAGUAAACCACCAAAUUGGUUCAUGUCUUUGUACCAAAUUUUCAAAUUGACCUCUAACUCUAUUAAUAACUCAAAAUGGUCACUUUCUUUGUCAAACGUUUCUCAAAUUGGUCCCUGCCUCUAUUAGUUGUUUUGCAUUUUAAGCCAUUAACGUACCAAAUAAGAUCCAAAAGGCAUUAUUCCAUAAACCAGUAAAUAAUAUCCAAAACACGUUGAAUCGAUAACACUCAAAAUACAAAACAAUUAAUAAAGGCAGAGACCAAUCUAAGAAACAUUUGACAAAGACAGAGACCAUUUUGAAUUAUUAAUAGAGUCAGGGACCAAAUUGAAAAUUUGGUACAAAGACAGUGACCAAUUUGAUGGUUUACUCAUUUCAAAUUCUAUAAUCUGAAAAACCGCAUAACAAAAACAUAUGAGAAACGAAGUCUUCACUUAUUGGACUUCAUUUGGACAUCUUUAAUUUUAGAUAUGAUUUAAAUACCACAUCAAAUCUAAGUUGAUUUGACAAUAAAUCUCAGCACUGCGAUAAACUAAAGAAAGAAAACAAAACUACAUAUGAAAAAUUUCUAAUUAGUAACGACAACAUACAUCUUAAUAAAUUCAAAAAAUAAAAAUAAAUAAACUAUAUCAAAUAAAUCUCAAAAUUGACCAAUGAGUAAAGACAAUUAAAAUAAGUAAAGACAAAAACAAUAAAAAAAAAUACACAUAUGAGGGAUAAUUAUCAAGAUUUUCAAUUAAUACAUAAAGAUAUUAUCAUCUUAUAUUAUUCCUAAAACAAAUUUUAUUACCAUUAUACACUUAUAUUUACUAUUUUGUGAUUUUCGUUGUAUUUCUUUACCAUAUUACAGAUGCAGAGUAUCCAUUGGUAAUGAAUAACUAAUCUCAACACGAAAAUCUUAUUGGUCAUCUUUAAUAGAGUCUCCCUUUCUCAUAUGUAACCCUGAAAUUUGAACAUGCUACUUUAUUUCAGACAUGUGAGUCUAGUUACAGCCAUACCAACAUAUAUAAUGUUGGGUGUCCUCUCCCUAUUACGAAAGUCUAGACAUGAAAUAAAAAAAUUGAAAAAUAAAAGGUUUGUAAAAAAAUAAAUAAUGAACUAUAAUUACAACCAAUAUUUUCAUGUGAGAUCUAUUCGAUGAGUUAAAAGGACAAACAUGAUACAUCAAUAUACCAAAGAGAUAUUUGAUCAUUAUUCUAAAUAUAAUGAACGCUUUCUUGCAACAACAUAACUAUCAAAAACUAUUUUUCCUAAAAAAAAACUAUCAAAAACUAUUUAAGUAAUUUAGAUUUUUUUUUUACCAAAAGUAAUUUAGUUAAAUAUAUUACGAGGGUUUUUACUAUAUAAAGUAAUAAAACACAUUUAUAUUUGUUACAUUGUAAAGUUGAAAAGCAAAAUAUGGCUGACGUUCUCAAAUUUGUGUAUAUUGUGUUCUUAUUUGUUUCUCAAUUUUGUGCUGAACCCGACGACAAUCAAAGUACGCUCUUUAUCAUUUUUUAGAUUAAUGCACAAUAUUUCACCCCUUUUCAAUAAUAUUUAUUUUUCUUAUUUAUGUUACAGAAAAUUGUGUUUCUGACUCCGAUUGUUAUAAAAAAUUUCAUCUUCCCCGUCAUUUUAUUAUGAAGUGCAUUAAAAAUCGAUGUACUUUUGUUUGAAUUUAAGGUAAAAUCUAUUUAUCUAUUAUGUCUUAGCCUUUCAUUCUUUUUGUUCAUCAUAAUAUUAUUAAUCUUACUAUUUCUCUCACACUUUCAUAUAUUUCUAUGAGCUUGCAAUUUCUUUGAUAGCCUUCAGUGGCGGAUCUUAAGUAAAUUUUUUGGGAUGUCAAAUUCCUAUGGAAUAUAUAUUAAAUGGUUUCAAGAAGUAUCAAUAAUUUAUAACCGGCCUAGUGGUAUAAAUCCUUUUAAAGGAGCAAGAGGGUGUGGGUUUGAAUCACUUCAAAAAUGUUUUUUUUUUUUUAAUACAAAUAUAUAAUCGUAGAAGAUUGAAUAUGUAAUAAGAAGACGAAGGUGUUGAACCACACUAAAUCUCAUCCCUUCAAUUUGAUUACCUUAAAGACUUGAAAGCAAUCACCAAAAUGAUUAAUAAGGUCACAUAUUUCUUGAUUUAUCUUGCUAUAUGUUUCCUUUAAUAGUUGAUUUUACACUCUGAAUUUAUUUUCUCAUAUAUGCUCAUUCAUUUCUAUAUCAAAAUAUUCGUCUUUAUCUGUUCCAUUGAUCAUUUCUAUAUUGCUACCACUUCUUAAUUUUUUGAAAUUGAUAUUUGCAGCAAUGCUAAUGUUUCUUUUGUAUAAUGAUAGACUAUUAGCAAAUGUAUUAGAAAAGAAUCGAAAUAAUAAAAUUUAUAAGUUCGUAUCCAUGGUGAAUAGUUAGCUUAACAAUCAUAAAACAAAUAGCGAAAAUGUAAAUAAGUGGUAAAGAAUUAAGGAGAAAAAUGAUGAGGUCUUUCGAAUCCUCUGUUCAUCAGUGAUUGCUAAAUUGCAUCUAUUCUCUAAAAGUGCUCACCUAAUUUAACGAUUAAUUAACAAAAUGGUUCUAAUCAAUCUCUUGACUCAGAACCCUCUUAUAAAGUUACAAUACAUUAAUCUCUUAAGUGCAUCCGUAACCGUUAAAGGUUAUAGUUGUGCGUUAAUUCCUAUAUCAUAACUCAAUAAUUUUCUAUCUCUAACUUAAUAUGUUAAGCUAAACAAAUUUACUACGUCAGAUUUAACUGCUAUGACUAGUAGUCAAUUAAAUUCUAAGAUCAAUUUAUAUAAUUAAGAAGUUAGGUCUAGUAGUCAUACAUAAACAUAUAAAAAUCUAGACAUAAUUACCAGAAUAAACAACAUAGGAAAAAAAUUAAACCUAUAGAGUUUUGUCGUAUCGACGUUGUUCCUCAAUUUCAUUGUUGAAUGUUGAGUUUCCAAGUGCCCAACCGUGAUCACUCAUGUAUCCAAAGCGUGAUAGCCCCUUUUAUCUUCUCCCCAAAACGUCCCCUUGAUAAAACGGGAAUCUCUUCCUUUUAUAUGUGAGGGGCAACGAAGACGGUACCUGAUUGAAAUUUCUUCUCUUUUCCGGUCAGCAUGUCCAUGUUAUCUCCUUGGCCCAUUAUUUAGAAGACAAUAACUUUUCACUUACCAAAUAAUGCAUAAAACCAUGAUUUUGUCUUAUUCUUUUUGAGUAAUAAUAGAUAAUUACUCACUAUUUGACUCAAUAAACAAAAGUGACAAUUUAUUCAAAUCGACUCUAAAUUAAAUACUAAACUAAUAU
This 3963-nucleotide long non-coding RNA is filed under the name Medicago truncatula (barrel medic). RNAcentral describes it as "long non-coding RNA (MTRU_LNC005251)". Lineage: Eukaryota; Viridiplantae; Streptophyta; Magnoliopsida; Fabales; Fabaceae. The record is from RNAcentral.